Molecule: ribosomal RNA, 253 nt
Filed under: uncultured bacterium
Lineage: Bacteria
Description: partial 16S ribosomal RNA
Rfam family: Bacterial small subunit ribosomal RNA
Source: RNAcentral
UACGAGUGCCUCAAGCGUUAUCCGGAAUUAUUGGGCGUAAAGGGUGUGUAGGCGGUUAUGUUAGUCCCGUGUUAAAACCUUCAGCUUAACUGAAGAUCUGCAUGGGAGACGGCAUAACUCGAGGAUGCGAGAGGUGAAUGGAACUCUAAGUGUAGGGGUGAAAUCCGUUGAUAUUUAGGGGAACACCAAAAGCGAAGGCAAUUCACUAGCGCACUCCUGACGCUGAAACACGAAAGCGUGGGUAGCGAAUGGA